Molecule: ribosomal RNA, 501 nt
Filed under: uncultured Chrysochromulina
Lineage: Eukaryota; Haptophyta; Prymnesiales; Chrysochromulinaceae
Description: bacterial SSU rRNA
Rfam family: Bacterial small subunit ribosomal RNA
Source: RNAcentral
CUUUAGUGGCGAACGGGUGCGUAAUACGUGAGAAUCUGCCCUUAGGAGAAGAAUAACUGCUGGAAACGGCUGCUAAAUCUUCAUAUGUCGAGAGAUGAAAUAGCUUAGGCUGCCUAAGGAUGAGCUCACGCCUGAUUAGCUAGUUGGUGAGGUAAUGGCUCACCAAGGCCACGAUCAGUAGCUGGUUUGAGAGAACGAUCAGCCACACUGGGACUGAGACACGGCCCAGACUCCUCCGGGAGGCAGCAGUGAGGAAUUUUCCGCAAUGGGCGAAAGCCUGACGGAGCAAUACCGCGUGAGGGAUGAAGGAUUUUGGUCUGUAAACCUCUUUUCUCAAGAAAGAAGUUCUGACGGUACUUGAGGAAUAAGCAUCGGCUAACUCCGUGCCAGCAGCCGCGGUAAUACGGGGGAUGCAAGCGUUAUCCGGAAUCAUUGGGCGUAAAGCGCCUGUAGGUUGUUUAAUAAGUCUGUUGUUAAAGACUAGGGCUUAACCCUAGAAAA